GAUGAACGCUGGCGGCGUGCCUAAUACAUGCAAGUCGAGCGAACAGACGAGGAGCUUGCUCCUCUGACGUUAGCGGCGGACGGGUGAGUAACACGUGGAUAACCUACCUAUAAGACUGGGAUAACUUCGGGAAACCGUAGCUAAUACCGGAUAAUAUUUUGAACCGCAUGGUUCAAAAGUGAAAGACGGUCUUGCUGUCACUUAUAGAUGGAACCGCGCUGCAUUAGCUAGUUGGUAAGGUAACGGCUUACCAAGGCAACGAUGCAUAGCCGACCUGAGAGGGUGAUCGGCCACACUGGAACUGAGACACGGUCCAGACUCCUACGGGAGGCAGCAGUAGGGAAUCUUCCGCAAUGGGCGAAAGCCUGACGGAGCAACGCCGCGUGAGUGAUGAAGGUCUUCGGAUCGUAAAACUCUGUUAUUAGGGAAGAACAUAUGUGUAAGUAACUGUGCACAUCUUGACGGUACCUAAUCAGAAAGCCACGGCUAACUACGUG
RNAcentral lists this ribosomal RNA (497 nucleotides) under uncultured bacterium. RNAcentral's name for it is "partial 16S ribosomal RNA". It matches the Rfam family "Bacterial small subunit ribosomal RNA", at positions 28 to 507 of the family's 1533-position model. The record is from RNAcentral.